UGGGGAAUCUUGGACAAUGGGGGCAACCCUGAUCCAGCCAUGCCGCGUGAGCGAAGAAGGCCUGCGGGUUGUAAAGCACUUUCAAUUGGGAAGAAAAGCGAGCGGCUAAUACCCGGUUGUCUUGACGUUACCUUUACAAGAAGCACCGGCUAACUCCGUGCCAGCAGCCGCGGUAAUACGGAGGGUGCGAGCGUUAAUCGGAAUUACUGGGCGUAAAGCGCGCGUAGGCGGUUCGGUGAGUCGGAUGUGAAAGCCCCGGGCUUAACCUGGGAAUUGCAUUCGAAACUGCCGGGCUAGAGUAUGGGAGAGGGAAGCGGAAUUUCCGGUGUAGCGGUGAAAUGCGUAGAUAUCGGAAGGAACAUCAGUGGCGAAGGCGGCUUCCUGGACCAAUACUGACGCUGAGGUGCGAAAGCGUGGGUAGCGAACAGGAUUAGAUACCCCCGUAGUCC
This 449-nucleotide ribosomal RNA is filed under the name uncultured prokaryote. RNAcentral's name for it is "bacterial SSU rRNA". It matches the Rfam family "Bacterial small subunit ribosomal RNA", at positions 355 to 796 of the family's 1533-position model. The record is from RNAcentral.